This 1284-nucleotide ribosomal RNA is filed under the name Chalcosoma caucasus caucasus. RNAcentral's name for it is "16S ribosomal RNA". The stretch from base 1044 to 1202 matches the Rfam family "Archaeal large subunit ribosomal RNA", at positions 2542 to 2701 of the family's 2987-position model. The record is from RNAcentral. Lineage: Eukaryota; Metazoa; Arthropoda; Insecta; Coleoptera; Scarabaeidae.
AAUGAAAGAUUUAUUUAUUAGUUUUAAAAAAAAUAGUUUUGAUAAUAGUAUAUUUUAGAAAUUAAUAAUAGAAUUAUAGUGAAUAGUAUAGUGAUAGAAAUAUGAAUUAAUAAGGUUUAAUUGUUUAGAAGAAAAAUUAAUUUUUUGUACCUUGUGUAUCAGGGUUUAUUAAAAUAAGUUAUUAAUAUAAUUUUCUCGAAUUAAAAAGAGCUAUAAUUAUAGAAAUUUAAUUGUUGCAUAACUUUUUAUAAUAUAAUUAUAGAAAUGAAACGUUAGUCGUUUUUUAAGAUAUCUAGUUUCUUAAGAAAUAAAUUUAAUUUAGUUUUUUUAAUUUUAUAUAUAAUUAAUUUUAUAGUUAUAUAUUUAAAAGAUGUAAUAUUUUAAGGGAUGAGCUUUAAAAUAAAUUAUUAAAAAUCAAGUUGGAUUGAAUAGAAAAUUGGUAGGAUUGGAAAUGUUUAUCUGUAGUUUGUUAUAAUUAAUUUUUUAUUGAAUAAGAUUUAUAUAGAUUUUAAUUAAUUUAUUAAGAAUAUAUAUAUAAUAAUAUAUUAUAUGGUAUAAUGAUAAAAUUAGUAUAGAUUAUUGUAUAGAGUAGUUUAUGAUUUAGGUUAAGUUAAGGAACUCGGCAAAUCUAUUUUCCGCCUGUUUAUUAAAAACAUGUCUUUUUGAUUAUAAUUUAAAGUCUAACCUGCCCAAUGAGUAGUUAAAUGGCCGCGGUACACUGACCGUGCAAAGGUAGCAUAAUCAUUAGUUUUUUAAUUGAAAGCUGGAAUGAACGGUUGGACGAGAAAAUAACUGUCUCAAUUUAAUUUUUAAUAGAAUUUUAUUUAUAAGUAAAAAAGCUUAUAUGAAUUUAAAAGACGAGAAGACCCUAUAGAAUUUUAUAUUUAUAUAUAUAUAUAUAUUAAUAGAAUUAGAAUUAUGUGUAUAUAUAUACGUAUUUUGUUGGGGCGAUAGAAAAAUUAACAAAACUUUUUUUAUAUUAAAACAUUGAUUUAUGAGUGAAUGAUCCGUUUUUUACGAUUAUAAGAUUAAAUUACCUUAGGGAUAACAGCGUAAUUUUUUUCUAGAGUUCUUAUCGAAAAAAGAGUUUGCGACCUCGAUGUUGGAUUAAAAUUAACUUUUGGUGUAGGGGCUAAAAGGUUAGGUCUGUUCGACCUUUAAAAUUUUACAUGAUCUGAGUUUAAACCGGCGUGAGCCAGGUUGGUUUCUAUCUUUAAACAAAUUGGAUAUCUUAGUACGAAAGGAUCAGAUAUUUAUAAUAUUUAUUAUAGUUUGAUUAUUAUU